Molecule: ribosomal RNA, 253 nt
Filed under: uncultured bacterium
Lineage: Bacteria
Description: partial 16S ribosomal RNA
Rfam family: Bacterial small subunit ribosomal RNA
Source: RNAcentral
UACGUAGGGUGCAAGCGUUAUCCGGAAUUAUUGGGCGUAAAGAGCUCGUAGGCGGUUUGUCGCGUCUGCCGUGAAAGUCCGGGGCUUAACCCCGGAUCUGCGGUGGGUACGGGCAGACUAGAGUGCAGUAGGGGAGACUGGAAUUCCUGGUGUAGCGGUGAAAUGCGCAGAUAUCAGGAGGAACACCGAUGGCGAAGGCAGGUCUCUGGGCUGUAACUGACGCUGAGGAGCGAAAGCAUGGGGAGCGAACAGG